Humulus lupulus (European hop) is the source of this 410-nucleotide long non-coding RNA. RefSeq lists it as uncharacterized. The record is from RefSeq and is a predicted model, not a curated record. The transcript has 3 exons. Lineage: Eukaryota; Viridiplantae; Streptophyta; Magnoliopsida; Rosales; Cannabaceae.
UUUAAAUGGUUCUCGUAUCUUGCUCUGUGCAGUCAAAUUGAAGGAGUGAAGUCCACUCGACUUCCCUCUUACGCCACUUUUCCCCAUGUUUUGGCUCCAAAUGGAGUGAACCCCUAGAGACCUUGAAGGAAACGGUUCAAUUUCCACGAAUCUUGGAUCAUGGAAGUCUUGUAAGAAAUUCUCAUAUUCCAUGAGAAGAAAGAGUGAGUUAGGGUGGGGAGCAGCAAGGAUAUGUUUGAAAGAAAAAAUGCUGAAGUUAAGGCCACUAAUCUGCCACUCCAAAGGGCCACAACCAUAAUAAUAUUAAAGUUUUCUUGAAAAACUAAUUGCUUUUUCUUCAAUAUUUGCCUCUGUGGACACCAUAACAGCCAUAAAGAGUUAUAUAGCUUCAACCCUAUUACUGAAAUUAA